Molecule: unclassified non-coding RNA, 353 nt
Filed under: soil metagenome
Description: partial contains 5.8S ribosomal RNA, internal transcribed spacer 2, and large subunit ribosomal RNA
Rfam family: 5.8S ribosomal RNA (bases 1-120)
Source: RNAcentral
GAUGAAGAACGUAGCGAAAUGCGAUAAGUAAUGUGAAUUGCAGAAUUCAGUGAAUCAUCGAAUCUUUGAACGCACAUUGCGCCCGACAGUAUUCUGGCGGGCAUGCCUGUUCGAGCGUCAUUACAACCCUCAGGCCCCCGGGCCUGGCGUUGGGGAUCGGCGGAAGCCCCCUGCGGGCACAACGCCGUCCCCCAAAUACAGUGGCGGUCCCGCCGCAGCUUCCAUUGCGUAGUAGCUAACACCUCGCAACUGGAGAGCGGCGCGGCCACGCCGUAAAACACCCAAAUUCUGAAUGUUGACCUCGAAUCAGGUAGGAAUACCCGCUGAACUUAAGCAUAUCAAUAAGCGGAGGA